This 415-nucleotide ribosomal RNA is filed under the name uncultured Stenotrophomonas sp. RNAcentral's name for it is "bacterial SSU rRNA". It matches the Rfam family "Bacterial small subunit ribosomal RNA", at positions 107 to 518 of the family's 1533-position model. The record is from RNAcentral. Lineage: Bacteria; Pseudomonadati; Pseudomonadota; Gammaproteobacteria; Lysobacterales; Lysobacteraceae.
UGAGGAAUACAUCGGAAUCUACUUUUUCGUGGGGGAUAACGUAGGGAAACUUACGCUAAUACCGCAUACGACCUACGGGUGAAAGCAGGGGACCUUCGGGCCUUGCGCGAUUGAAUGAGCCGAUGUCGGAUUAGCUAGUUGGCGGGGUAAAGGCCCACCAAGGCGACGAUCCGUAGCUGGUCUGAGAGGAUGAUCAGCCACACUGGAACUGAGACACGGUCCAGACUCCUACGGGAGGCAGCAUUGGGGAAUAUUGGACAAUGGGCGCAAGCCUGAUCCAGCCAUACCGCGUGGGUGAAGAAGGCCUUCGGGUUGUAAAGCCCUUUUGUUGGGAAAGAAAUCCAGCCGGCUAAUACCUGGUUGGGAUGACGGUACCCAAAGAAUAAGCACCGGCUAACUUCGUGCCAGCAGCCGC